RNAcentral lists this ribosomal RNA (891 nucleotides) under Marinospirillum sp. CPA-16. RNAcentral's name for it is "bacterial SSU rRNA". It matches the Rfam family "Bacterial small subunit ribosomal RNA", at positions 56 to 943 of the family's 1533-position model. The record is from RNAcentral. Lineage: Bacteria; Pseudomonadati; Pseudomonadota; Gammaproteobacteria; Oceanospirillales; Oceanospirillaceae.
UGCAAGUCGAGCGGAAACGAUGGAAGCUUGCUUCCAGGCGUCGAGCGGCGGACGGGUGAGUAAUGCAUAGGAAUCUGCCCGGUAGUGGGGGAUAACUCGGGGAAACUCGAGGCUAAUACCGCAUACGUCCUACGGGAGAAAGUGGGCUUUUGCUCACGCUAUCGGAUGAGCCUAUGUCAGAUUAGCUAGUUGGUGGGGUAAAGGCUCACCAAGGCGACGAUCUGUAGCUGGUCUGAGAGGAUGAUCAGCCACACUGGGACUGAGACACGGCCCAGACUCCUACGGGAGGCAGCAGUGGGGAAUAUUGGACAAUGGGGGCAACCCUGAUCCAGCCAUGCCGCGUGUGUGAAGAAGGCUUUCGGGUUGUAAAGCACUUUCAGCGAGGAGGAAAGCGGUGUUGUUAAUACCAGCAUCGUGUGACGUUACUCGCAGAAGAAGCACCGGCAAACUCCGUGCCAGCAGCCGCGGUAAUACGGAGGGUGCGAGCGUUAAUCGGAAUUACUGGGCGUAAAGCGUGCGUAGGUGGUUAAGUAAGCCAGAUGUGAAAGCCCCGGGCUUAACCUGGGAACGGCAUCUGGAACUGCUUAACUAGAGUGCAGUAGAGGAAGGUAGAAUUCCACGUGUAGCGGUGAAAUGCGUAGAUAUGUGGAGGAAUACCAGUGGCGAAGGCGGCCUUCUGGACUGACACUGACACUGAGGUACGAAAGCGUGGGGAUCAAACAGGAUUAGAUACCCUGGUAGUCCACGCCGUAAACGAUGUCUACUAGCCGUUGGGCUCCUUGAGAGCUUAGUGGCGCAGCUAACGCAAUAAGUAGACCGCCUGGGGAGUACGGCCGCAAGGUUAAAACUCAAAUGAAUUGACGGGGGCCCGCACAAGCGGUGGAGCAUGUG